This 893-nucleotide ribosomal RNA is filed under the name uncultured bacterium. Its description in RNAcentral is "bacterial SSU rRNA". It matches the Rfam family "Bacterial small subunit ribosomal RNA", at positions 52 to 937 of the family's 1533-position model. The record is from RNAcentral.
CACAUGCAAGUCGAGGGGCAGCAUGAUUGAAGCUUGCUUCAAUUGAUGGCGACCGGCGCACGGGUGAGUAACGCGUAUCCAACCUUCCGUACACUCAGGGAUAGCCUUUCGAAAGAAAGAUUAAUACCCGAUGGUAUGAUGAGAUUGCAUGAUAGCAUCAUUAAAGAUUUAUCGGUGUACGAUGGGGAUGCGUUCCAUUAGGUAGUAGGCGGGGUAACGGCUCACCUAGCCGACGAUGGAUAGAGGUUCUGAGAGGAAGGUCCCCCACAUUGGAACUGAGACACGGUCCAAACUCCUACGGGAGGCAGCAGUGAGGAAUAUUGGUCAAUGGACGAGAGUCUGAACCAGCCAAGUAGCGUGAAGGAUGAAGGUCCUACGGAUUGUAAACUUCUUUUAUAAGGGAAUAAAACCUCCCACGUGUGGGAGCUUGUAUGUACCUUAUGAAUAGGCAUCGGCUAACUCCGUGCCAGCAGCCGCGGUAAUACGGAGGAUGCGAGCGUUAUCCGGAUUUAUUGGGUUUAAAGGGAGCGCAGACGGGUCGUUAAGUCAGCUGUGAAAGUUUGGGGCUCAACCUUAAAAUUGCAGUUGAUACUGGCGUCCUUGAGUGCGGUUGAGGUGUGCGGAAUUCGUGGUGUAGCGGUGAAAUGCUUAGAUAUCACGAAGAACUCCGAUUGCGAAGGCAGCACACUAAGCCGUAACUGACGUUCAUGCUCGAAAGUGUGGGUAUCAAACAGGAUUAGAUACCCUGGUAGUCCACACGGUAAACGAUGGAUACUCGCUGUUGGCGAUAUACAGUCAGCGGCUUAGCGAAAGCGUUAAGUAUCCCACCUGGGGAGUACGCCGGCAACGGUGAAACUCAAAGGAAUUGACGGGGGCCCGCACAAGCGGAGGAA